Molecule: microRNA precursor, 135 nt
Filed under: Hordeum vulgare
Lineage: Eukaryota; Viridiplantae; Streptophyta; Magnoliopsida; Poales; Poaceae
Description: microRNA MIR1122
Rfam family: MIR1120/MIR1122 microRNA precursor family
Source: RNAcentral
GGAGUACUUUUUUCGUCUUAAAUUGUUUGUCUUAAAUUUUUUAGAUAUGAAUGUAUCUAGUCACGUUUUAGUAUUUUGAUACAUCUAUUUCUAGACAAACUUAAGACAAGAAUUUUGAAACGGAGGGAGUACUUG